AUUUGUUUUUCCUAAUUGAGCUUCUGUGGAAAGGUGAUAUGGAGCUUGCUUUCUGAUAUUGACAAGAUACAGCUCCAGAGAAAUCGGGGCCAUUUGUUCCAAGUCGCAUGAACAUAAACGAGAAGACAUGGAGGGCAGGAGCUGACUAGAUGUAUUUU
Molecule: long non-coding RNA, 158 nt
Organism: Lagopus leucura (white-tailed ptarmigan)
Lineage: Eukaryota; Metazoa; Chordata; Aves; Galliformes; Phasianidae
Exons: 3
Source: RefSeq, a predicted model, not a curated record